This 301-nucleotide ribosomal RNA is filed under the name uncultured bacterium. RNAcentral's name for it is "partial 16S ribosomal RNA". It matches the Rfam family "Bacterial small subunit ribosomal RNA", at positions 509 to 807 of the family's 1533-position model. The record is from RNAcentral.
CAGCAGCCACGGGAAUACGUAGGUGGCAAGCGUUGUCCGGAAUUAUUGGGCGUAAAGGGCUCGCAGGCGGUUUCUUAAGUCUGAUGUGAAAGCCCCCGGCUCAACCGGGGAGGGUCAUUGGAAACUGGGAGACUUGAGUGCAGAAGAGGAGAGUGGAAUUCCACGUGUAGCGGUGAAAUGCGUAGAGAUGUGGAGGAACACCAGUGGCGAAGGCGACUCUCUGGUCUGUAACUGACGCUGAGGAGCGAAAGCGUGGGGAGUGAACAGGAUUAGAUACCCCAGUAGUCCCUGUCUCUUAUAC